UACGGAGGGUGCAAGCGUUAUCCGGAUUCACUGGGUUUAAAGGGCGCGUAGGCGGGCUAGUAAGUCAGUGGUGAAAUCUCCGGGCUUAACCCGGAAACUGCCAUUGAUACUAUUUGUCUUGAAUACUGUGGAGGUAAGCGGAAUAUGUCAUGUAGCGGUGAAAUGCUUAGAUAUGACAUAGAACACCAAUGGCGAAGGCAGCUGGCUACACAAAUAUUGACACUGAGGCACGAAAGCGUGGGGAGCAAACAGG
Molecule: ribosomal RNA, 253 nt
Filed under: uncultured bacterium
Lineage: Bacteria
Description: partial 16S ribosomal RNA
Rfam family: Bacterial small subunit ribosomal RNA
Source: RNAcentral